AUUAUUGGGCGUAAAGAGCUCGUAGGCGGUUUGUCGCGUCUGCUGUGAAAUCCCGAGGCUCAACCUCGGGCUUGCAGUGGGUACGGGCAGACUAGAGUGCGGUAGGGGAGAUUGGAAUUCCUGGUGUAGCGGUGGAAUGCGCAGAUAUCAGGAGGAACACCGAUGGCGAAGGCAGAUCUCUGGGCCGUAACUGACGCUGAGGAGCGAAAGCAUGGGGAGCGAACAGGAUUAGAUACCCUGGUAGUCCAUGCCGUAAACGUUGGGCGCUAGAUGUAGGGACCUUUCCACGGUUUCUGUGUCGUAGCUAACGCAUUAAGCGCCCCGCCUGGGGAGUACGGCCGCAAGGCUAAAACUCAAAUGAAUUGACGGUUUUA
This 374-nucleotide ribosomal RNA is filed under the name Curtobacterium sp. RNAcentral's name for it is "bacterial SSU rRNA". It matches the Rfam family "Bacterial small subunit ribosomal RNA", at positions 550 to 921 of the family's 1533-position model. Lineage: Bacteria; Bacillati; Actinomycetota; Actinomycetes; Micrococcales; Microbacteriaceae. The record is from RNAcentral.